UGGGGAUUUCUGCGUGGAGGUUGGCAA
This 27-nucleotide non-coding RNA is filed under the name Cricetulus griseus (Chinese hamster). Lineage: Eukaryota; Metazoa; Chordata; Mammalia; Rodentia; Cricetidae. The record is from RNAcentral.